AUGUGGAUUAAUUCGAUGCAACGCGAAAAACCUUACCUACCCUUGACAUGUACGGAAUCCUGCUGAGAGGUGGGAGUGCUCGAAAGAGAACCGUAACACAGGUGCUGCAUGGCUGUCGUCAGCUCGUGUCGUGAGAUGUUGGGUUAAGUCCCGCAACGAGCGCAACCCUUGUCCUUAGUUGCUACGCAAGAGCACUCUAGGGAGACUGCCGGUGACAAACCGGAGGAAGGUGGGGAUGACGUCAAGUCCUCAUGGCCCUUAUGGGUAGGGCUUCACACGUCAUACAAUGGUCGGUACAGAGGGCUGCCAAACCGCGAGGUGGAGCUAACCCCAGAAAACCGAUCGUAGUCCGGAUCGCAGUCUGCAACUCGACUGCGUGAAGCUGGAAUCGCUAGUAAUCGCGGAUCAGCAUGUCGCGGUGAAUACGUUCCCGGGUCUUGUACACACCGCCCGUCACACCAUGGGAGUGGGUUUUGCCAGAAGUAGGUAGCCUAACCGUAAGGAGGGCGCUUACCACGGCAGGAUUCAUGACUGGGGUGAAGUCGUAACAA
RNAcentral lists this ribosomal RNA (551 nucleotides) under Pandoraea sp. 3T-N23. RNAcentral describes it as "bacterial SSU rRNA". It matches the Rfam family "Bacterial small subunit ribosomal RNA", at positions 939 to 1494 of the family's 1533-position model. RNAcentral also lists the same sequence under 1 other name. Lineage: Bacteria; Pseudomonadati; Pseudomonadota; Betaproteobacteria; Burkholderiales; Burkholderiaceae. The record is from RNAcentral.